Molecule: long non-coding RNA, 282 nt
Organism: Amblyraja radiata (thorny skate)
Lineage: Eukaryota; Metazoa; Chordata; Chondrichthyes; Rajiformes; Rajidae
Exons: 3
Source: RefSeq, a predicted model, not a curated record
AAAGUAUAUUCACUAAAGUUGUGGUCUGGGCCUACUUGAAGGAGUUUAACAGGGACCACUGACCUGCAGCUCCGUUGAGGCGAGCCCGGCCAUCGUGUCAUCGUCCAGGUCAAUCGUCCAACCUCAAUCAUGCGCUUUGUUUCCUGGUCACUGGGCAGCGAGUACUCUGGGAUCAUGGCUCCCUCCUCAUUACAUCAAACAAUAGCAAGGUUGCCAAGGAAUAAAGAAACCGCCAAAAUGGUUAAUUUUUGCGAUGUAAAAAAUUGUGGAAGUCGGGGUAAG